CGUAGCAAAACCCGGUUUUGCUAAAGACCUAAACUCUUUCCACAGAAGUUCAAAUCUUCUCGCUAGCU
This 68-nucleotide transfer RNA is filed under the name Andinobates claudiae. RNAcentral describes it as "tRNA-Leu". It matches the Rfam family "tRNA". From Rfam's summary of the family: Transfer RNA (tRNA) molecules are approximately 80 nucleotides in length. Their secondary structure includes four short double-helical elements and three loops (D, anti-codon, and T loops). The record is from RNAcentral. Lineage: Eukaryota; Metazoa; Chordata; Amphibia; Anura; Dendrobatidae.